GACGAACGCUGGCGGCGUGCUUAACACAUGCAAGUCGAACGGUAAGGCCCUUCGGGGUACACGAGUGGCGAACGGGUGAGUAACACGUGGGUGAUCUGCCCUGCACUUCGGGAUAAGCCUGGGAAACUGGGUCUAAUACCGGAUAGGACUCCUGGCUUCAUGGUUGGGGGUGGAAAGCUUUUGCGGUGUGGGAUGGGCCCGCGGCCUAUCAGCUGGGUGGCGGGGUUAUGGCCCACCAAGGCGACGACGAGUAGCCGGCCUGAGCGGGUGACCGGUCACACUGGGACUGGGAUACGGCCCAGACUCCUACGGGCGGCAGCAGUGGGGAAUAUUGCACAAUGGGCGCAAGCCUGAUGCAGCGACGCCGCGUGAGGGAUGACGGCCUUCGGGUUGUAAACCUCUUUCAGCACCGACGAAGCGCAAGUGACGGUAGGUGCAGAAGAAGGACCGGCCAACUACGUGCCAGCCGCCGCGGUAA
RNAcentral lists this ribosomal RNA (478 nucleotides) under uncultured bacterium. RNAcentral describes it as "partial 16S ribosomal RNA". It matches the Rfam family "Bacterial small subunit ribosomal RNA", at positions 28 to 523 of the family's 1533-position model. The record is from RNAcentral.